AGUGAACGCUGGCGGUAGGCCUAACACAUGCAAGUCGAACGGCAGCACAGAGGAGCUUGCUCCUUGGGUGGCGAGUGGCGGACGGGUGAGGAAUACAUCGGAAUCUACUCUGUCGUGGGGGAUAACGUAGGGAAACUUACGCUAAUACUGCAUACGACCUACGGGUGAAAGCAGGGGAUCUUCGGACCUUGCGCGAUUGAAUGAGCCGAUGUCGGAUUAGCUAGUUGGCGGGGUAAAGGCCCACCAAGGCGACGAUCCGUAGCUGGUCUGAGAGGAUGAUCAGCCACACUGGAACUGAGACACGGUCCAGACUCCUACGGGAGGAAGCAGUGGGGAAUAUUGGACAAUGGGCGCAAGCCUGAUCCAGCCAUACCGCGUGGGUGAAGAAGGCCUUCGGGUUGUAAAGCCCUUUUGUUGGGAAAGAAAUCCAGCUGGCUAAUACCCGGUUGGGAUGACGGUACCCAAAGAAUAAGCACCGGCUAACUUCGUGCCAGCCGCCGCCGUAA
RNAcentral lists this ribosomal RNA (506 nucleotides) under uncultured bacterium. Its description in RNAcentral is "partial 16S ribosomal RNA". It matches the Rfam family "Bacterial small subunit ribosomal RNA", at positions 29 to 523 of the family's 1533-position model. The record is from RNAcentral.